GUGCCAGCCGCCGCGGUAAAACCAGCACCUCAAGUGGUCAGGAGGAUUAUUGGGCCUAAAGCAUCCGUAGCCUGCUCUGUAAGUUUCCGGUUAAAUCCAUUAGCUCAACUAAUGGCCUGCCGGAAAUACUGUAGAGCUAGGAAGUGGGAGAGGUAGACGGUACUCGGUAGGAAGGGGUAAAAUCCUUUGAUCUAUUGAUGACCACCUGUGGCGAAGGCGGUCUACCAGAACACGUUCGACGGUGAGGGAUGAAAGCUGGGGGAGCAAACCGGAUUAGAUACCCGGGUAGUCCCAGCUGUAAACGAUGCAGACUCGGUGAUGCCCUGGCUUGUGGCCAGUGCAGUGCCGCAGGGAAGCCGUUAAGUUUGCCGCCUGGGAAGUACGUACGCAAGUAUGAAACUUAAAGGAAUUGGCGGGGGAGCACCACAAGGGGUGAAGCCUGCGGUUCAAUUGGAGUCAACGCCAGAAAUCUUACCCGGAGAGACAGCAGAAUGAAGGUCAAGCUGAAGACUUUACCAGACAAGCUGAGAGGUGGUGCAUGGCCGUCGCCAGCUCGUGCCGUGAGAUGUCCUGUUAAGUCAGGUAACGAGCGAGAUCCCUGCCUCUAGUUGCCACCAUUACUCUCAGGAGUAGUGGGGCGAAUUAGCGGGACCGCCACAGUUAAUGUGGAGGAAGGAAGGGGCCACGGCAGGUCAGUAUGCCCCGAAACUCUGGGGCCACACGCGGGCUGCAAUGGUAGUGACAAUGAGUUCCGAAACCGAAAGGUGGAGGUAAUCUUCAAACGCUACCACAGUUAUGAUUGAGGGCUGCAACUCGCCCUCAUGAAUAUGGAAUCCCUAGUAACUGCGUGUCAUUAUCGCGCGGUGAAUACGUCCCUGCU
This 880-nucleotide ribosomal RNA is filed under the name uncultured archaeon. RNAcentral's name for it is "bacterial SSU rRNA". It matches the Rfam family "Archaeal small subunit ribosomal RNA", at positions 455 to 1334 of the family's 1478-position model. The record is from RNAcentral.